AGCUGCGCGGUGAACACAGAGUGAACUAUUCUUUCACCUCUUACUAAAGAAUACCGUGUCUUUGCCACAUUAAGCAGCAUACGCCUAUUUUUGGAGGAUUUACCAUUGACGCC
Thalictrum thalictroides is the source of this 113-nucleotide non-coding RNA. The record is from the annotation of a GenBank genome assembly. Lineage: Eukaryota; Viridiplantae; Streptophyta; Magnoliopsida; Ranunculales; Ranunculaceae.